CGGAGCGUAGCGCAGCCUGGUAGCGCACCUGAUUUGGGAUCAGGAGGUCGUAGGUUCAAAUCCUAUCGCUCCGACCA
Molecule: transfer RNA, 77 nt
Filed under: Candidatus Tokpelaia sp. JSC161
Lineage: Bacteria; Pseudomonadati; Pseudomonadota; Alphaproteobacteria; Hyphomicrobiales
Description: tRNA-Pro
Rfam family: tRNA
About the family: Transfer RNA (tRNA) molecules are approximately 80 nucleotides in length.
Source: RNAcentral